CGGGGGUGAAGGGAGUUCGAGCGCCGUUGUAUUAUGUUGCACGAAAGUGCUUUAAACCCUAAACCCAACUCUUAACACAUGAGUUUUUCCUUUGUGAUUGAAGGUAAUUUUUCCGGUAUUUAUACCUUAAAAAGAAAUACCGAUGCCCUGCGAUGGUGCUCGAAAGUUGUUUGUCCAAUUUCACGAAGGCUGGCAGGGGGUAAAAGCUGCAGGUAGUUCGAGAGGCUACUUAGCGGUGAGCCGAUAUUCCUCGCCUUCGUAGUAGCCCCAUUUUUU
Molecule: non-coding RNA, 276 nt
Filed under: Calamus simplicifolius
Lineage: Eukaryota; Viridiplantae; Streptophyta; Magnoliopsida; Arecales; Arecaceae
Source: RNAcentral